This 253-nucleotide ribosomal RNA is filed under the name uncultured bacterium. RNAcentral describes it as "partial 16S ribosomal RNA". It matches the Rfam family "Bacterial small subunit ribosomal RNA", at positions 524 to 776 of the family's 1533-position model. The record is from RNAcentral.
UACGAAGGGUGCAAGCGUUAAUCGGAAUUACUGGGCGUAAAGGGUGCGUAGGCGGUUCGUUAAGUCUGUCGUGAAAUCCCCGGGCUCAACCUGGGAAUGGCGAUGGAUACUGGCGAGCUAGAGUGUGUCAGAGGAUGGUGGAAUUCCCGGUGUAGCGGUGUAAUGCGUAGAGAUCGGGAGGAACAUCAGUGGCGAAGGCGGCCAUCUGGGACAACACUGACGCUGAAGCACGAAAGCGUGGGGAGCAAACAGG